GGAUUUAAUUAUCAAAUUGUUCAAGAAAUCACUAGUAUCUUGUUUAAUAAUAAUAAUAAUAAUAAUAAUAAUAAUAAUAAUAAUAAUAAUAAUAAUAAUAAUAGUCAUAAACAUUACAAGGUUUUUUUCCAUUUAAAGUGUUCGUCUCUUCUUCUUGCUUCAAUUUUGGGUUUUUUAUUUCAAGGAGCUUUUGGUUUGGAACAAACCUCAUGAAAGUGAUAAUGAAUAUAAAAGAAAAUGGGGGUAUCCUGGUUACGACUUACGAAACUUCCGCAUAAACAUUAGUGGCUUGCGAGAGUGGAUUUGAUUAUAUUAUAUUUGACGAGGACCAUGAAUUGUGAAAUCAGAAUCAGACUUACUAAUCGUGGCAGAGAGUCGAUGCAUAUCAUAGAAUAAUAGUAUCCGGUAUGCCCGUACAAAAUGAUCUCAACAAAGUAUGGAAUUUAUUCCACUUUUGCAGAAAUUCCCUUUUUGACACGAAAAGAAUAAUCAAAGGAAAAUUGAGUGAUUGCAAAGGGACAUUACAAAGACGCGGGUACCCCACACAAAUGUCAAUGUGAACAAGCUUGCAUUGAUUGAGCUAGCAAGAUUAAGCCUUACUAUAUAUGUUGGAUGAAAGAACAAGUUUUGGAUAACGAUUUAGCUAAAAAAAACCGAGCUGGUUGUGUGGGUAACGCAGCCACUCGCUAGGUACUUAAAAUCAUAGUUGUGUGUCUGAUAUAUAAUCAUAAAUAUAAAAAUUUUCAAUACCUGACGAGUGGCUAGCGGUAACUACACAUCUGCCUCCGUUUUUUUAGGUAAAUCGUUAGUCAAAACCUGUUCUUUCAUCCUACAUAUAUAGUAAGGCUUAAUCUUGUUAGCUAUAUCCAUGCAAGCUUGUUCACAUUUAUGUUUGUGUGGGGUACUCGCGUCCUUGUAAUGUCCUUUUUCAAUGUCGCUCAAUAUUUUUUUAUUCACUCUGUGUCGAAAAAGGAAUUUGUGCAAAAGUGGAAUAAAUUUCAUAUUUCGAUGAAA
Molecule: long non-coding RNA, 1014 nt
Organism: Erigeron canadensis
Lineage: Eukaryota; Viridiplantae; Streptophyta; Magnoliopsida; Asterales; Asteraceae
Exons: 2
Source: RefSeq, a predicted model, not a curated record